AUUGCUUCUCAGCCUUUUGGCUAAGAUCAAGUGUUGUACUGUAAUAAUUUUGAAUGGUCAUUAAUCAAAUGGUCAUAUGUUCAGAACUACUUGUAGACUAUAUCUAAAAGUUUUUAUGGAAGGGACCAAUCAAGACUGAGACUUU
This 145-nucleotide small nuclear RNA is filed under the name Naja naja (Indian cobra). RNAcentral describes it as "U2 spliceosomal RNA (ENSNNAG00000014903.1)". It matches the Rfam family "U2 spliceosomal RNA". Rfam says of the family: U2 is a small nuclear RNA (snRNA) component of the spliceosome (involved in pre-mRNA splicing). The record is from RNAcentral. Lineage: Eukaryota; Metazoa; Chordata; Lepidosauria; Squamata; Elapidae.